AUUACUUAUGGUCACUUGUUGAUAAGUUGUUAGAGCACUAUGCAUGUUAUUUUGUUUAUAUAUUCUUGUGCAAAGCAUACUUCUGUUACUAAAUUUUCUAUAACCUCCAAAAUGUCAAUGGAAUAGCUUUGAGUCCAUAUAAUUGUACAUGUUUUAAUUUUCCCACCCGAAACCACCCUGCUGUAAUAUGAAAGAAGUCAUGAGUAAUUUGGUGCACAAAUAAUGGUAGCACGCUGGUUUAGAACUGCAAAAAAGGCGUAGGAUAUACUGCUGGAAGAUUCUGAAAAAUACAGGGCAGGGAUAAUGAGAUUAUAUUAGAUCGCUUAGCAUUUCCGGCACUGCCCAAAAUUCUUGCUGGCGUAUUACUCCAAAUAUAUGGACUGGGCUGACAAAGUUUCUGUGCAACCAACUCCGGCUUCAAUGAGUUGCUUUGGGUGAUAGCUGGAUUUCUCCUGAAGAUUUUUGUGAGUUCUGGUGGCAGACAUAAAACAAAUUUCACAAAUGAUAUGAGUUAUCUCUCACUCUUUUCUCUUUAAGAUAAGAAGAAGGAGCUGGAAGAAGGAGAAGGAUGAUGCAGCUUUGCUGCAGCUGGAAGAAGGAGAAGGAUGACGUAGCUUUGUUGGAUCUGGAGAAAAAUGAAGAAAAUCUGGUAUUUGUGAACUGAGAAGGGCCUCGGGUGCUUGCUGGAGCUGGAAGAAGGAGAACGACGCCGCAACUUUGCUGGAUCUGGAAGAAAAUGAAGAUAAUCGGUAAUUUGUGAGCUGAGAAGGGAGAGGCAGAGAGCUGCGAAAAAAAAUGGAGGGCUCCAAUGGUCUCGUUGCAAAAGAAAGUGUAAUCUUCAAUAUUGAGGAAGGAGCUACCAAAACUUCUUGCAUUGUCUUCUGGUGUUCCUAACCAUCAGUCUUUAUAGAAUAUUUUUUUUUGUGUUUGUUUCUCGAAUUUACUCCUUGAUGCCUUGUUCUUCAUUGUCUCAUAUAUAUUGCAGUAAGAUUAAAUGCUUUCUUCUCUUGGAAAACUUAAAGAGCAAAUAAUAUUUGUAAGGAGAAGUCAGGUUGACUCAUGAUAAUCUUAUUUUUCUCAUUUUGAAAGAGAUUUGUGUGGAUAUUUAUGCACUUGAUGACCUUCAGCCAAGAUUCUUCCCCUAGAGUAUUUAGUUCCAUAUGGACUUUGGUGUAAUUUAGAUGACUAUUCACUGGAACGUUUGUCGAGUUGGUCCUUUGUUCAACUUAAAGAUAAAUCUGCUUAUUGGAUUCAUCACCUUGCUCUUUACUUAAUGGAUAUCAAUGCUCAUAAUGUUUUAAUCAUUAAAUCUUCUUUCCUUUUCUAGGUAAUACGACUGCGAAAGGCAUGUAGCCAUCCACACCUAUGUCCUAGUAUUGAGCCCGAACCAUUUGUAGAAGGUGAACACUUGGUUCAGGUAAGCCUUCUCAUCUAGGUUUUUUAGACAAAGGAUGAUGAAUGUGAAAUUGUAAUCUAUCUACAGCUUCUGAGUCUUCGACUUGUAUUUUCCUUCAAGCAUAUCAUAUUGUUCCUUUUCAACCAAAAUGUUGUUUUUAUGACUUCUUGAUCAAGCUAGCAGCAAACUUGUUAUUUUGGACCCACUACUUUGAUUGUAUGCUUUUAGGCAUUAUGUUCUUCUCUUUGCCCAGAUGACCCAUACGCUUGACAUUUUACAGGUUUGCUUUUUGAAUCUUAAUAAUGUUAAAAGUUUAUGUCUUCAGCUCAAGUGUUGAUGCUAGUUGAUUUUGACAACUAUAGGCACUACUUUUCACAUGCAAUGUAGGAUUUUUUAGAGUUAUGGACCUAUGAGCAUCUUGAUGGUCAGUUCGGGCUAAGGAGCAUUUAGUUGCUGCUAUAAGAAAUUUCAAUGCUUCUUUAUCUACGGGGAGACUCAAUUAUUAAGUUGAUGGAAAAUGAUCCAUAUGCUUGAUAUUUUACAGGUUUGCUUUUCGAAUCUUAAUGAUGUUAAAAGUUUAUGUCUUCAGCUUGAGUCCUGAUGCUAGUUGAUUUUGACAACUAUAGACACUACUUUUCACAUGCAAUGUAUGAUUUUUCAGCUGAUGGAAAUAAUACUGUUGUUUUUCUGAUCUCUAUCAAGAG
Molecule: long non-coding RNA, 2100 nt
Organism: Pistacia vera
Lineage: Eukaryota; Viridiplantae; Streptophyta; Magnoliopsida; Sapindales; Anacardiaceae
Exons: 7
Source: RefSeq, a predicted model, not a curated record